CCCUGUCAUUGGUUAAACUAUCUAAAGACCUAUUCCUACCUUUGUCCAUUCCUUUUAUUCUGAAUGUGACUGAUAAAGACUUGAUGGUUUUUCCCUUCUGUGAAACCCGAAACUAUAAAUGUACAUGUAGUAAAUACAUUCAAAUGACUUCUUUUUAGAAUGCAGUGUGAUGCCUCCACCACAGGAGAGGGUGAAAUAUGGACUCCAUAAAUACAGGGACAAAUCAAGAGCCAGAGACUUCCCUUUGUCAUGUUUUUAGACCAACCUGAUGAUGGUUAGGAAGGACAUUGACAAACUUGAGAACCCUGAUCGAGGGGAACCAUGUUGGUGAAAAAACCUUGAGAUCAAGCUAUAUGAGAAUCAACUAAAAGAAGUGGGGAUAUAUUGCUUGGAGAAAAGAAGACUAGGGGGGAGUAAGGGAAUGGACAAAGAUAAUCAUCUUAGAGUACUUAAAGUGAGUAAAUUUGUUUUUCCUAA
Monodelphis domestica (gray short-tailed opossum) is the source of this 477-nucleotide long non-coding RNA. RefSeq lists it as uncharacterized. NCBI's taxonomy places the organism in Eukaryota, Metazoa, Chordata, Mammalia, Didelphimorphia, Didelphidae. The record is from RefSeq and is a predicted model, not a curated record.